AUUGAACGCUGGCGGCAUGCCUUACACAUGCAAGUCGAACGGCAGCACGGGAGCAAUCCUGGUGGCGAGUGGCGAACGGGUGAGUAAUAUAUCGGAACGUGCCCAGUCGUGGGGGAUAACGUAGCGAAAGCUACGCUAAUACCGCAUACGAUCUACGGAUGAAAGCGGGGGAUCGCAAGACCUCGCGCGAUUGGAGCGGCCGAUAUCAGAUUAGGUAGUUGGUGAGGUAAAGGCUCACCAAGCCGACGAUCUGUAGCUGGUCUGAGAGGACGACCAGCCACACUGGGACUGAGACACGGCCCAGACUCCUACGGAGGCAGCAGUGGGGAAUUUUUGGACAAUGGGACGCAAGGCCCUGAUCCAGCAAUGCCGCGUGCAGGAUGAAGGCCUUCGGUUGUAAC
RNAcentral lists this ribosomal RNA (401 nucleotides) under uncultured bacterium. Its description in RNAcentral is "bacterial SSU rRNA". It matches the Rfam family "Bacterial small subunit ribosomal RNA", at positions 30 to 429 of the family's 1533-position model. The record is from RNAcentral.